This 252-nucleotide ribosomal RNA is filed under the name uncultured bacterium. RNAcentral's name for it is "partial 16S ribosomal RNA". It matches the Rfam family "Bacterial small subunit ribosomal RNA", at positions 524 to 776 of the family's 1533-position model. The record is from RNAcentral.
UACGUAGGGUGCGAGCGUUAAUCGGAAUUACUGGGCGUAAAGUGUGCGCAGGCGGCCGAGCAAGUCGAGUGUGAAAGCCCCGGGCUUAACUUGGGAAUUGCGCUCGAAACUACUUGGCUGGAGUGUGGCAGAGGAAGGUGGAAUUCCAGGUGUAGCGGUGAAAUGCGUAGAGAUCUGGAGGAACACCGAUGGCGAAGGCGGCCAUCUGGACCGCAACUGACGCUGAGGCGCGAAAGCGUGGGAGCAAACAGG